RNAcentral lists this ribosomal RNA (695 nucleotides) under uncultured organism. Its description in RNAcentral is "bacterial SSU rRNA". It matches the Rfam family "Bacterial small subunit ribosomal RNA", at positions 150 to 823 of the family's 1533-position model. The record is from RNAcentral.
CGCGAAAGUGGAGCUAAUACCGGAUGUGGUACCUCGUCGCAUGGCGAGGCUAUUAAAGGUGGGGAUCCUUCGGGACCUGCUGCUUGGAGAGGAGCUCGCGUCCCAUCAGCUUGUUGGUAGGGUAACGGCCUACCAAGGCAUACGGGUAGCCGGCCUGAGAGGGUGACCGGCCACACUGGGACUGAGACACUGCCCAGACUCCUACGGGAGGCUGCAGUCGAGGAUCAUUCGCAAUGCGCGAAAGCGUGACGAUGCGACGCUGCGUGGAGGAUGACGGCCCUAGGGUUGUAAACUCCUGUCAUGAGGGAACAGCCGGCAAAGGGAUAAUACCCCUUCGCUCCGAUGGUACCUCAAGAGGAAGCCACGGCUAACUCUGUGCCAGCAGCCGCGGUAAUACAGAGGUGGCGAGCGUUGUUCGGAUUUACUGGGCGUAAAGGGUGCGUAGGUGGUUUCGUAUGUCGGAUGUGAAAGCCCGGGGCUCAACCCCGGAACUGCAUUCGAAACUGCGGGACUAGAGUACAGGAUGGGAGAGCGGAAUUCUUGGUGUAGCGGUGAAAUGCGUUGAGAUCAAGAAGAACACCGGCGGCGAAGGCGGCUCUCUGGAAUGUUACUGACACUCAUGCACGAAAGCUGGGGCUACCAAACAGGAUUAGAUACCCUGGUAGUCCCAGCUGUAAACUGUGUGCACUUGGUGU